This 409-nucleotide ribosomal RNA is filed under the name Feraxinia sp. FECAG3724. RNAcentral describes it as "partial 16S large subunit ribosomal RNA". The record is from RNAcentral. Lineage: Eukaryota; Metazoa; Arthropoda; Insecta; Lepidoptera; Noctuidae.
GUAUAUUGACUGUACAAAGGUAGCAUAAUCAUUAGUCAUUUAAUUGAUGACUUGUAUGAAAGAUUGGAUGAAAUAUAGGCUGUCUCUUAGUUAAAAAUAGAAUUUAAUUUUUUAAUUAAAAAGUUAAAAUAAUUUAAAAAGACGAGAAGACCCUAUAGAGUUUUAUAAAUAAAUUAAUUAAGAUUAUUUAUUAAAAUUAAAAUUAAUUUAUUUAUUCUAUUGGGGUGAUAGAAAAAUAUAUUUAACUUUUUUUUUAUGUAAACAUUUAUAAGUGAUUAAAUGAUCCAUUAUUAAUGAUUAUAAGAAAAAAUUACCUUAGGGAUAACAGCGUAAUUUUUUUUUUUAGUUCACAUAAGAAAAAGAGUUUGCGACCUCGAUGUUGGAUUAAGAUAAAAUUUAAAUGCAGAAG